UCAAACUUGGUCAUUUAGAGGAAGUAAAAGUCGUAACAAGGUUUCCGUAGGUGAACCUGCGGAAGGAUCAUUAUUGAAUAAACUUGGCUAAGUUGUUGCUGGUUCUUAGGAACAUGUGCACGCUUGGCUACUGUUUUUAACCCCUGUGCACCUUAUGUAGUUCUGGAGUCUUUUGAAACAACUUUGUUUCGCGUGGGGAAUUGCGUAAGCUUUCCCUGUCACUCCAGUUCUAUGUCUUUAUAUACCCUUUUAAAUGUAAAGAAUGUCUUUCUAGGCUUUAAAGCCUAUAAAACUUAUACAACUUUCAACAACGGAUCUCUUGGCUCUCGCAUCGAUGAAGAACGCAGC
This 348-nucleotide unclassified non-coding RNA is filed under the name uncultured fungus. Its description in RNAcentral is "partial contains small subunit ribosomal RNA, internal transcribed spacer 1, and 5.8S ribosomal RNA". The stretch from base 1 to 73 matches the Rfam family "Eukaryotic small subunit ribosomal RNA", at positions 1759 to 1831 of the family's 1831-position model. Lineage: Eukaryota; Fungi. The record is from RNAcentral.